Non-coding RNA from Halocaridina rubra (Hawaiian volcano shrimp), 72 nucleotides. NCBI's taxonomy places the organism in Eukaryota, Metazoa, Arthropoda, Malacostraca, Decapoda, Atyidae. The record is from the annotation of a GenBank genome assembly.
GAAUAGAUACUCAGUUGGGAGAGCGUUUGACUGAAGAUCUAAAUGUUCCCUGUUCAAACCUGGGUCUGGGCU